UACGGAGGAUCCAAGCGUUAUCCGGAUUUAUUGGGUUUAAAGGGUGCGUAGGUGGCCCUGUAAGUCAGUGGUGAAAUAUCUCAGCUUAACUGAAAGGGUGCCAUUGAUACUGCAGGGCUUGAGUACAGAUGAGGUAGGCGGAAUUGACGGUGUAGCGGUGAAAUGCAUAGAUAUCGUCAAGAACACCGAUAGCGAAGGCAGCUUACCAAGCUGUAACUGACACUGAGGCACGAAAGUGUGGGGAUCAAACAGG
This 253-nucleotide ribosomal RNA is filed under the name uncultured bacterium. RNAcentral describes it as "partial 16S ribosomal RNA". It matches the Rfam family "Bacterial small subunit ribosomal RNA", at positions 524 to 776 of the family's 1533-position model. The record is from RNAcentral.